Molecule: transfer RNA, 82 nt
Filed under: Felis catus (domestic cat)
Lineage: Eukaryota; Metazoa; Chordata; Mammalia; Carnivora; Felidae
Rfam family: tRNA
About the family: Transfer RNA (tRNA) molecules are approximately 80 nucleotides in length. Their secondary structure includes four short double-helical elements and three loops (D, anti-codon, and T loops).
Source: Rfam by way of RNAcentral
GCCUGGGUAGCUUAGUUUAAGCAUCUGACUUCGGCUCAAGUCAUGAUCCCACAGCUUGUGGGUUCGAGCCCCACAUCAGGCU